Molecule: long non-coding RNA, 475 nt
Filed under: Equus asinus (donkey)
Lineage: Eukaryota; Metazoa; Chordata; Mammalia; Perissodactyla; Equidae
Description: lncRNA (ENSEASG00005029781.1)
Source: RNAcentral
GUCUGCAUUUCCAUGCUCAUCAAACACCUGUGCAGACUGUCUCUGAUUUGCAACUUGCUUCAGAUUGUGUCUCAGAUAUUAACCCCGGAUGUGACAAUAUAAGCUCAACAGACUGCCUUGGCCACCUUAGCAGACUCCUCACUGCGGUCAGAGCCUGCAGCCUCUCCCUACUCCCACUGGUCCUUGGCCAGCAGCUCCUGACACCCAGAGGAUUCAGCUUGGGGCCUCUGAAUUUCUUGAAUUCUUCUGAGACCAAAAGAAGAAUAAAUCAAAGAAGAACUCUUACAUUGGUAUGUAGACACAUCCUAUUGAGAUGCCUAGAGUUACUGAUGGAAUCUUUCUUCACAGUGCUUUGUCUUAUUCAAAGUGCUUGAAGGUUGAUUUCUGCAAGGGGGGUGUUCUCCUGUCUGAUUUCCUCGACUUAAUGAUUUGGAAUAUGUGUGACAUAAAAAUGAGCAACGUAUGUGUUGAUGGC